UGACGCGUUAAUUUUAACUUUCAGGUCAAAACAAAUAAGAAAAACAAAAAUGAAAAAAUCGAUUAUAUAUAAGUUGCUAAUCCCUACCAUCUUUUCAUUCAUGGGCAAAAUUUCUUACCAUCUUUCCAACUGAAAAGAAAAUAUCAAAAAGCCAAGAAGGGAGAGAAAAAAGUACUUUUUUUCCUCAUAAAAUCUGAUCUUCUCUCUCUAAAAGUGAAGAUUGGAUGGCAGAAAAUAAGCAGCAGCAAUCACCAAUCCCUUUGGCCCCUACAGUCAUUGGCUAUCCACGAAGUGACACAGAAUUAGCAUCCAAUGAUGCAAGAGAAUUACGCAAAAAGAAACGCAUGAAAUGUUUACUUUAUAUUGUUCUCUUCGCCGUUUUUCAAACUGGGAUUAUACUACUUUUUGCCCUAACCGUAAUGAAAAUCAGAACUCCAAAGUUUCGAUUGCAUUCCGCAACGUUGGACAACUUUACAACAACCCCUUCGUUGCGUUUUACGAUGAACGCAGAGUUUGGAGUAAGGAACACGAAUUUCGGGCACUUUAAGUACCAGAACAGCACUGUUUAUUUCUUCUACGGCAGCGAUCAGGUUGGCGAGGUGGUGGUGCAGAGAGCUCGAGCCAGGGCACGGAAGACGAGGAGGUUUAAUGAAGUGGUGGAAUUGAGUUUUCCGGCGAACUCUCAGCUGGGAAAUGGUUUGAGCUCUGGUUUUGUGAGAAUUACUAGCCAAUCAAAACUCAGUGGGAAGGUGGAGCUGAUGAAGGUGAUUAAGAAAAAUAAGGCUACUGACAUGAACUGUUCCAUGGAUAUUGUUAUUGCUACCCGACAACUUCAGAAUAUUGUGUGCAAAUGAUGAAGUUACUAUGUUUUGUAUAUUAUUUUUGGCAUCCAUUGAUGGGUGUUUUAUGCACUUCGUGUUUGCCACCCCCUGCGGCUGCGGCGGCGGGUGGAGGGAGUGGAGGUGUGCUUUGAUACUCUUAGCCACCUAUUUGGCUCUCUUUUUGGUCAUAUAUAUUUCUUGAUUUCUAUUGUGUGUAUUGUAGGAUUAUAGACUUAUAGUUACUACUUGGUACUUCGUUAUAAAAUUUAAAAAAAUAAAAAUAAAAAUAAAAUUACAAUUAUUCUUGAAAGGUAUUAUUUACCUACACUUCUUUUAUGGCUUAAUUUCUUAGCCUCCGUUUGAUAGAAAUUUAUAAAUGGUUUAUAAAUUUAAAUUCGAAGUCAUAUGUAUAUUUAAACAACACAAUAAUAUCUACUAAUCUUUAUUAAACAUACAUUUUAUGAGAUCAAUUACCAUUCCUCUUUAUAGAUUUGCUAAACGAAGUUUUAGUUGUAAGUUAAAGUUUAAAAAAUUAUGCCUAACCAAAUAUGCUUGAAAUAGAAGAAGUGAUAAUGUAUUAAGGUGCUCUCGCUUGCCAUUUGUUGGAACAAUGUUAGCCGACUAUAAGUAUGUUCUGAAAGUAUUUAUGAAUAGUUCUGAUCAUAAAUAAAGAGAAAUGAGUUAUGAAUAAAUAGAUAACACUUAUGGAUUCGAUAAAAUAUGUUAUUAAAAAAAAUUAUUUGAAUGUUUAUAAACACAAUCCAAAUAUAGGCUAAGAAUGCUUCCCUUUUUAAAAAUUUCUCUAGGUUUCUUAAAUUAUGAGUAAAUUUAAUAGAAGAGAGAUACACUUUAAGAGUCAAAAGAAGGGUAAGCAAAUGAAAUGAUAAACCUAGAAAAUUGUUAUUAGUGAAAGAAGAAAAAAUGAACCACUAUCCUAUGAUAAAGAAAGGCAUAUGUGAAAGUGGCCAAGAAGUCUCUCCUCUCUCUCAGGGCAUUUCACUUAGAUUAAUAUCAUUCAAAUCAUUAAUUAUAACUGAAAAAAAGUGCUUAAGAGGUUAUUUCUAUGUAUAUACACUAAGUCAACAAGGUUGACUUAUAGCUCGAAAGACUGCAACGAUACUGGAGAUAUUUUUUGUGUUCAUAUAGAAUGCUUCAACUGUGCUAAAAGUCAAAUAUUUAAUCCCAUAAAGUAGCAUUUCCAUUUUUUUACAAGACCUCUUGAUUAUUCUAUGAAAAUGUUAUGCAUGCAAAAUAAAUAUUUUUAUUUUCACACGAAUUAAAGUAAUGCAAUUAAUAUAAUAAAAAUAUAAUUUUUAAAUCUUUUUUCUUAAUAUAUCUUUAUAUUAAAUAAUUGACUAAAUAAGAGUAGUCCAUAUUUAUUAAUAACAAAACAGAUUAAAUAGAGGUGCUUUAUAAAAUUAAGAAAUUAAUUAUACUAAAAAUAAGAAAAGUGACUUAUAAUUUAGGACAGACUUAAAAGGAAAGAAAGCCGAUCUUUAUAGAAUGGAUGGAGUAAUAGACAUUUAUAAUCAUAUAUCUUAAGGGCUCGUUUGGAAGAAUUCUUUCUUGUUUAUUUAUUUAUUUUUUUUAGGAGAAAAGCUUUCCGAACAAGUUAAAUUAGACCAACUUUUUCCAAAAUUUCUUUUAAUCAGAUAAAAUAAUUCCAAAAAGCUAUUCAAAUAUAUUAAAAAGUUACUUCUUUUAAUACCAAAAUUAACUUUUAAUUUUUUAAAAACUAUGCCAAAAGGACCCUAAAUAAACCUAUAUAAUUCUAGUGCUUAUAGACAUAAAUCAAAUGAUUUUCCUUUUCUCUAAACUUAUGUGGACAACUAUUUCAAUGAAUAAAAAAAUAACCAAAUUAUUACAUCAGCAAAGUCAUAUAGACUGUAAAAUCUUUGAAGCGGUGUAUACACGUUAUCGAAUAGAACUGAGUGAUAUUAAGUUGGAGGAAUUUUAAUGUUCACACAUCAUUUUCCCUAUCUCAAGUUGUAGGGUCAAAAUCAAUAUGUCAACAAACAAUGAUUCUUUAAACAUAAAUAUAAAUCAAAUCUUUCAUACGAAGUUUAAAAAAUUAGAUAAAGGUAUAGUUCAAUACUAUAUUUUAACAUGUGAAAUUUCAAGUUUGAGUUUGUCAUUGAUUCAAUUAUUAAAUUUUUCUAAGUUUUGUUUUUGUUUUUGUUUUUUUUUAUGUGCAUUACCGAAGUAUUCUUCAAAAAAUAAAAUAGAAUAAAAUAAAAUAAAAUAUAUAAUGUUGACGUCAAAAUUAGUAAGACUAAUCUUAAGCCAACUUUUAAAAAAAAGGGUGAUUUAUUGUUGAAAAAAACCACAAAAUAUGUUUAGAGAGCGUAAUUAUGCCUUGAGUUGUUAUAUGAAAUCACUUUUCCUUUACAAGAGUCCGAUUCAACUAUUUAUACAUAGUUUCAGCAGACAUUACAUCAAAUUAGUCAAAUCAGCAAUAGUACCGAGCUCGAAACUCGGGUCGUCGAAUUCUCUUGUGAUUGGUUGAUAAGGCCGGUGGCCAUGUGUCAAUGUUUUUCCCAGGUAAUGAUAACCUGCAAGGGGUUGGAGGUUGAGGACUUAGGAUUGGUUAUUCCGGACGGUGAUAAUGUCACCUGUGGCAAGUGUAUUUGAUUGAUUGGGUGAUGUGACAGGGGGUAAUCAUGAUUUUUUUGAGAUAACGGUGAGAUUGUCUGACCUGGGAGUAAGAACUGAACUCACAUUUAACUGAGGUGGGGUUAACGAACUGUUUUUAUUAGAUCAGAGUUUGAAUGUCGACAAUUACCCCCCAGGUCAGUUCUUUCGUAAGGGGGCUGACCUUCUAACUUCACGGGUUCUUUUUCCAAUAAAAGUAAUUAUUAUUAUGCCAAGUGUCAUGCCUGGGUAGGGAUGAGCUGUACGGCAUUUUUAGAUAGCUUCUUUGAUAAGUUUCCUGAUGCUGUGUCGUUUUGCCCAGGAGACAUUUCAUCUGUAGAUCUUCCCUCCUUUAUUUUGAACUAAUAUCCCAAAUUAAAACCCUGUAUCUUCCUUCUUUUUAAAUAUUCAAUGGCUUUUCAUUUUGUCUUUUUUACUUUACACUGUUUUCUCUCAAAGCACCAACGAAUUUCGAGCACGCCCUGUCCGUCGUUUGAGUAAGGUCGUCCUUCGAGUUUCCAGGUAUUCCUUCGCUUCUUCACUUAGUCCAUUUGUUUUGUUCUUUUCCAUGAGUUUGGACAAGUCGAGGGUUCAAUCCCGGGGAAAUCAACAGGAAGAAUCUAUCCCUUCUACUUUUAGUUCAUCCUCGGGGUGUAGAGAGAUUUUUACUCCUGUUCCUAUUUCUAUUGCUAACCCAUUACUUUGGCCCGUCCUGGGAAGAUGGGGCGAGAUAGGGUAGACGAUGAGGUGGGUUCCUCUAUGGGUAGUGAAGGGAACGAUCAGUUGGAGUAGGGUACUCCUGUUCCUAUUUCUAUUGCUAACCCGUUACUUUGGCCCGUCCUGGGAAGAUGGGGCGAGAUAGAGUAGACGAUGAGGUGGGUUCCCCUAUGGGUAGUGAAGGGAACGAUCAAUUGGAGUAGGGGGCUGAUUCUUACAGGUCGGUAGUUACAGGUGAUAUGUUAGCUAGUUGUAGGGCAAAAUAUGAUAUUCCGAGUUCGGUAAUUAUAAUAAUCCCCGAACCAUUUGACCGUGUUGACACUCCCCCUUUGGGAUGUGUCGCAUUGAAUUCUGCCAUCCUUCAAGCCGGGCUGAGAUUACCUAUUCCUAGGGUUAUCCGUAAGUUUUUGUCUUCUUAGGGCAUAGCUCCGAUCCAGUUAUGCCCAAAUGGGUGGUGGACUUUGAUCGCCACGCUUAUUCUGUGAGAUAGAUUAGGUAACCCUGAGCUUAUGGUUGAGUAGUUCAACUCUUUAUUUACUUUUAAGGAGGAUGGGAAGAUCUUGGGUUGGUGGUACACAAGUGUUAGGUCAAGGAUGGGAGGUUAUUUGGUUUUAAACACCCCCUUCUCGAUUAAGAAAUGGAAUGAAGAGUGGUUCUAUGUGUCGAGGGAGUGGCAGUUUCAUUUUGUCGAGGUGAAUAGGGGACGACGUGAUCCUAGCGCUUUAUCACUCGUUAUGUAAGUAACUGCCUCUUGGUGUUUUGACCUAGAUUGUAUUCCGAGCGGCUCUAAUUGAUAUCAUGUUACUGUACAGAUUACAAUAGGCCUACACUGAAGAAAGACACUCAGAGGCGAGCGGAAGCAAUUCAUGCAUUGCAGAAGAAAUAGAGAUCUUGUAAAUUUUUGCUCUCAAAUUCCAACCUUUUCCAGGCUGACUUGAUUAAAACCAUGGUGUCGGGGCCUUCCACCGUCGCUGUGUCUACAUCGGUUCCGACCAGUUCAGGUCAGUUUUGAUUGGUUUAUUGAGGUGAUAUUUGUUAGAGUUGAGUAUUGACAUACUUUUUUGUCUACAGCUCACAAUUCAGAAAUGUUAGCAUACAAGGCGACGAAAGUUGCGGCCGCAGUAAAGGCCAAGAAUUGGGACGUCCUAGAAUGGGAUGAAAGCCAUUUUGAGGAAGUGGAGGAUGAGGUCCCCUUCAAGAAGAACCAUACUGGUAUGUCGUCGCACCAAGGGUCCCUGAAGCUGAUCCUGUGUUGAGCUCUUCUCCUUUGGUGGCCAUCACUUUGCCAUCUCCAGCUCAUACCUUGCCACCUCAUGCGGCACCUGCUUCCGUUUCGAUUAGCUCGGCAAGGGUGCAGGAGAGGUGCCUUGACUUACAGAGACCAUCACUGGACAGUCUACUAGGCCACCGUCCAGAGAUCUUCCUGGAUUACUUGCGAGCUUCAUCUCCAUCGAGGGAGGUUACUGCUGCACUUCCCCCACUUCUGCAUGAUUCUGCAAACCUGCUUACCAGGAGUUGGGGUAAAAGGGAGCAGGGCUUCCCUAAUGAGAUGUCCAUAGGUGAGGCCCUAGUGACUGCUCAACUCCACGACCAUCCCUUUAUCAUGUACAUGACGGCCGUAGCUAAUAAGGUAUUUUCCAUAUUUGAUGAUUUAUAUAUUUGCGAGGUGCUUAACUUAUGAAUUUUAAUGUAGGUGAAAUCUGAACUCGACAAAUUGAUAGAGGCCAAGGAUCAAGCCUUGAAUUUGUAUAACAACAUGGAGGUUGAGAGAGCUCAGUUUGCAAUAAAAGAAAAAGAAUACGAGGAGAAGCUUAACACGAUGGGGUUUGAGCUGAACUCAAGGCUGGAGAUGGAGAAGAAGUGGAUGGGGGAGAUUACAGCUUUGAGGGGAGAGGCCGAUCGUAAGGCUGAGACUGAGAAGAAGAGGAUUGAGGAAGAGAAUGUUCGGAUUGAGGAGGUUGUGGAGAAGGUACGGGAGGCAAAUGAGAGAGCAAGAGAGGCGAUGCGUAGAGCUGAGAAGGCUGAAUCUAGGACUGCGAGGACAGUGGAGACUUGGUGGUCGUCCUCUGAGUUUGACGCUCUUGCUCAGGAUGCUUAUGUCGUGGCUCUGGAAGAAGUAGUAAAACACAUUCGCAGAGAGAGGCUAGGGUUCGACGUGGGUUUCCUUGAGGAGGUUGUGGAAGAGCAGAAGGAAGAGUUUCAGCAUUUGUCGGAAGUGGCAGGGAUUUGGAUUUCUCCUGCUGAUGAAGAUGAUGCCGCUCCUCACGAAGACCUCCCUCCCCCUAGCUCUUCUUAGGACAUUUUUUGGAUUUGUGAUGAAUUUGUUAAACUUUAUGGAUACCUUGUUUGUGCUUGAAAAUGAGCUGUACUCUAUUUUGAAUGCUUAUGAAAAUGCAUGUUUUUUUGUGGGGCCUAAAUUUUAUUGCUUAUUUCAUCAUUUCGUAAAGUUUUAAUGAUGGAAUGUCUUCUAGGCAGCGUAUGUGACAGAACUCGUAAGUCAUGUGAACCUAGAUCAACUUGCACAUGCUGCUAGGCUUCGUAGAAUUUCCAAAAAGGAAUUUCCGCUAGGGGUCGUAGCAUUUACGACCUUAGAUUGGCCUAUGUAAGUAGUAGGGCUUUGUAAGAUUCCUUAAGAGGAAUGUUCACUAAGGGUAACGCGUACAGCCUCAGAUCGACCUGCGUAAGUAGUGGGGCUUUGUAAGAUUCCUUAGGAGGAAUGUUCACUAAGGGUUGCAGCAUUUAUGACCUUAGAUCGACCUGCGUAUGGAGCAGGAUUUUGUAAGAUUCCUUAGGAGGAAUGUCCACUAAGGUUAAUACGUACAACCUUAAAUCGGCCUACGUAAGUAGCAGGGUUUUGUAAGAUUCCUUAGGAGGAAUGUUCACUAGGGGUCGCAGCACUUCCGACCUUAGAUCGGCCUGCGUAUGGAGCAGGACUUUGUAAGAUUUCUUAGGAGAAAUGUCCACUAAGGGUAACACGUUCAGCCUUAGAUCGGCCUGCGUAUGUAGCAGGGCUUUGUAAGAUUCUUUAGGAGGAAUGUUCACUAAGGGUCGCAGCACUUAUGACCUUAGAUCGACCUGCGUAUGGAGCAUGGCUUUGUAAGAUUCCUUAGGAGGAAUGUCCACUAAGGAUAACACGUACAGCCUUAGAUCGGCCUACGUAAGUAGCAAGGCUUUGUAAGAUUCCUUAGGAUGAAUGUUCACUAAGGGUUGCAACACUUACGACCUUAGAUCAGCCUACGUAUGGAGCAGAGCUUUGUUAGAUUUCUUAGGAGGAAUGUCCACUAAGGGUAACACAUACAGCCUUAGAUCGGCCUACAUAUGUAGCAGGACUUUGUAAGAUUCUUCAGGAGGAAUGUCCACUAAGGGUCGCAGAACUUACGCCCUUAGAUUGACCUGCGUAUGGAGCAGGGCUUUGUAAGAUUCUUUAGAAGGAAUGUCCACUAAGGGUAACACGUACAUCCUUAGAUCGGCCUGCGUAGGGAGCAUGGCCUUGUAAGAUUCCUUAGGAGGAAUUUUCACUAAGGGUAACACGUACAACCUUAGAUCGGCCUGUAUGUAGCAGGGCUUUGUAAGAUUUCUUAGGAGGAAUGUCCACUCAGGGUCGUAGCACUUAUGCCCUUAGAUCGGCCUACGUAUGGAGCAGGGCUUUGUAAGAUUCAUUUUCUCCUCGGUUAGGUCGAGUUCCGUACGAAGAGCCAUGUGGUUCCUUUCGCAGCGAGGGAAUGCUGACUCUAGUGGGAUCACAGCCUCUACACCGAAAGCUAAUGAGAAUGAUAUUUCUCCCGUACUAGUCCUUGUAGUGGUGCGAUAAGACCCUAGCACACUGGGGAGUUCUUUGGCGCAUCCUCCUUUAAACAAGUCGAGUUUUGCUUUCAAUAUGUGCUUAGUAAUUUUGUUAAUGGCUUCGACUUGGCCGAUUUCCUGCGGAUGUUUCGACGUUGAGAAAUAUUUCUUGAUGCUGAACUCUUCACAGAAAUUUGAAAGUCAUGCGUUGUCGAACUAUUUUCCAUUGUCCGUAACAAUAAAGUGAGGUAUGCUGAACCUGCAGAUGAUUGAUUUUCACAAAAAGUCGAUUGUUUUCUGUUCGGUGAUCUUGGCAAGUGGCUCUGCCUCGGCCCAUUUGGUGAAGUAAUCAACUGCGAUGAUGGUAAAUUUUACACCCUCUUUUCCAAUGGGCAUAGGUCCAAUUAGGUCGACCUCUCAUUUCGCAAAGGGCCAAGGUGUUGUUACUGGGUUCAACUCGUGCGGUAGAGCAUUUAUGAUUGGGGCGAGGCGCUAGCAUUUGUCGCAUCUUUUUGACAAAUUCAAGGAAAUCACGUCUUAUUGCAGGCCAGAAGUAUCCUUGUCAUAUGAUCUUGUGGGCUAGUGAGAGCCCACCUGAAUGGUUUCCACAUAUUCCUUCGUGAACGUCUUUCAGGGUAUGCUGAGCUUCUUCUUCAUUUAAACACCUUAACAAAGGAGUAGAAUAUCCCCGUUUGUAUAGUACAUCGUCAAUGAGUGUAUACCUGGCCGACCUGAUUCAAAGCUUUCUAGCCUCCGCAAAAUUUUCGGGACAUUUCCCAAUUUUUAUGUAGAUGACGAUCUCAUCCCGCCAGGUUGGUUUGGGGUCGAUCAUCAUAUGGACCACUUCGUCCAGCUCGGUUGAUGGUAGGGAUAUUCUUCCUAUGGGGAUGCUAUCGAAUUCUUCAAUUUCCUCACUGGUGGCUAGCCGGCCAGUGCGUCGGCGUGAUCGUUCUACGAUCCGGAAAUUUGCUUGAUUUCGGUGGUGUUGAACCUUUCAAGUUCUUUUCUUACAACUUGUAGAUAGUUGUCCAUUCUUUCUUCUUUCGCCAUAUAUACACCGUUGACCUGAUUUACGACUAGUUGAGAGUCGCUGUGUAUGAUCAGGUCGGAGAUCCCCAACCCUGAGGCCAUCCUUGUGCCGGCAAUGAGAGCUUCGUACUCUGCCUCAUUGUUUGAGGCUUUAAAGUCAAAUGGCAAGGUUUCGUAAAAUAUGCGAUGUAUAGGGCUGAUUAAUACGACGCUUGCCCCAGAUCGUUCUCCAGUGGAUGAACCGUCAACAUAAAAUCUCCAUGGGGUUUCUUCUUGUAGUUCCUUGAUUGGGACGUUGCAAAACUCAGAGACAAAGUCGGUGAGUGCUUGGCCCUUGAUGGAGGAACGUGGCGUGUAUUUGAUGUCGAAUUGUCCAAGCUCGACUGCCCAUUUUACCAUCCAACCUGAAGUGUCGGGUCUUUGUAGUGUUUGUCUUAAUGAAGAGUUGGUGAGAACCUCAAUGGGGAGUUCCAAGAAAUAUGGCCUUAGUUUUCGCAUGGUUAUCAGCAGGGUGAAUGCCAAUUUCUCUACAGAUGAAUAUCUGAGCUCGGCUUCGUGAAGUGCCUUGCUUACGUAAUAGACUGUGUGUUGAACACCGUUCUCUUCUCGGGUUAGAAUCGCACUAAUGGCGUGUUCUGAAACAGAUAAAUAAAGUUUCAGGACCUCAUCAGCCUUAGGUUUUGAAAGCAACGGAGGCUGAGCUAGUUGUCUCUUUAGCUCGUUAAAGGCGUCCUGGCAUUCUUUGGUCCAUUCGAACUUUUUCCCCCAUGUAAUGUGUCAAAGAAGGGUUUGCAGCAGUCCGUAGACUUGGAGACGAACCGGCUGAGGGUGGCAAUCCUUCCAGUUAAACUUUGUGCCUCUCUAGGUUUAGUUGGAGGCCUCAUUUGGAUGACAUCUUGUAUUUUUUUCAGGAUUUGCCUUGAUUCCUCGGUUGUUCACAAUGUAACCUAGGAAUCUUCUAGAGCUGACCCCGAAAGCACAUUUCCUUUGGUUCAACUUCAUUCCAUACUUCCUCAGUAUAUCAAACAUCUCGGUCAGGUGCUGACGGUGAUCCUUGGCCUUGAUGCUUUUGAUCAGCAUAUCGUCAACAUACACUUCCAUUGUUUUUUCGAUCUGUUGGGAAAACAUAGAAUUCACCAGUCGUUGGUAGGUCACACCAGUGUUUUUGAGACCAAAUGGCAUUACUCUGUAACAGUAAAGACCUCGGUCAGUUACAAACGAGGUAUGUUCUUGAUCUAGGCCGUACAUCGGUAUCUGGUUAUAUCUGGAAUACGCAUCCAUGAAGCUGAGUAGUUCGUGUCUGACAGUGGCGUCCACCAUUUGAUCUAUUCUUGGCAAAGGAAAACUGUCUUUUGGACAUGCUUUGUUGAGGUCGAUGAAGUCUAUGCAUACCCUCCAAUCUCCAUUGUGUUUUUUCACAAGGACCGAAUUUGCGACCCACUUCGGGUAUUUGGCCUCACGGAGGAAACCGUUAUGCAACAGUUUUUGCUCCUCCUUGUUGAGUGCUUCAUAUCUUUCAGGGUUCAGAGGUCGUCGUUUUUGCUGCUUUGGCCGAACUGAAGGAUCCACUUGUAAUUUGUGGCAUGCGAUGUUGGGGUCUAUUCCUCUCAUGUCCCCGUGAUUCCAAGCGAAGACAUCAAGGUUUUGUCUAAGGAAGGCCACAAUUUCGUUUCGGGUGGAUGGCUGCAGCUUGUGCUCAACUUUGAGCUCUUUUGUAGGGUCCUUGGCACAGACUUGAACUCCUUCUAAUUCUUCGACAGGUUCUCCGCCUUCGAUCCUGGUCCACAGGUCUAGUGGAAUGAGCUCGGAUUCCCAUAUGUUUGCCUUAUACACUCCCGGGGAGUUGCGUUGAUUUCUGGCACAGGUCUUCCUCAUGGCGGUCGUUUGAGGGUCCUGCCAUCGUGGAGAGCUUGGUGGUGUAUUCGUUUCAUGAGGGUGGGUAUGAAAUGGGUUUUUGGAACUUAAGCUACGACUCAUGGCUCUCGAAUUUUGUGGAAAGAAUGAGACUAUUUUUCACAAUUAGGGCCCUCCUUCUAGGCCCAAACUGUUGACGUCAAAAUUAGUAAGACUAAUCUUAAGCCAACUUUAAGAAAAAAGGGCAAUUUAUUGUUGAAAAAAACCACAAAAUAUGUUUAGAGAGCGUAAUUAUUCCUUGAGUUGUUGUAUAAAAUCACUUUUCCUUUACAAGAGUCCUAUUCAACUAUUUAUACAUAGUUUCAGCCGACAUUACAUCAAAUCAAUUAAAUCAGCAACAGUACCGAGCUCGAAACUCGGGUCGUCGGAUUCUCUUGUGAUUGGUCGAUGAGACGUGACCAUGUGUCAAUAUUUUCCCCAGGUAAUGAUGACCUGCAAGGGGCUGGAGGUUGAAGACUUAGGAUUGGUUGUUCCGGGCGGUGAUGAUGUUGCCUGUGGCAAGUGUAUUUGAUUGAUAGGGUGAUGUAACAUGGGGUAAUCAUUGUGUUUUUCUGAGAUAACGGCGGGAUUGUCCGACCUGGGAGUAAUGACCGAACUCACAUUUAAUUGAGGUGGGGUUAGCGAACUGUUUUUAUUAGAUCGGAGUUCGGAUGUCAACAUAUAAAAAUAUUAAAACCCCCACUAGGCCACUCUCAUUCGCCAUAUAAAAAAUAAAAUAAAAAAAUAAAAACAAAGAAAAAAUGAAACUUUUUUUUUUAUGAUCAUGGGUGUCCGAGCUAACUUACGCACACCUCGACUAAUCCCACGAGAUCCUGAAGUUUACAGCAAGAGACUCACUUCUGUGGUCUUGAGGAGACUCAAAUUGGUGACCAUUGUGGGGCAAACUGAAAACCUGAUCACUGAGUUACUCCUCAGGGUUAGAAAAGGAUGAAACUGAAAAUAGAGCUAGAUUUUACCAUGUUCGACACCAUUAUUUGAAGUAAUUUCCACUAAUUAAGGCAAGAAAAGAGGAAAAGUAAUUUUUUUUCUUCCCAUAUUCUAAUCUUCUCUUUCUAAAAGUUAAAAGAAUCUGAAAAUUUGGUGAUAGAAACUAGGUAUGGAGAUGUCUAGUUUUGUCCGAUUUCAAAGAGAAUCGAAAUGAGUCAAAACAAAAAUUAUUGGGCAUUUUUUGAAUGGAAACUUAUGGUCCAAAUUUACUUAUGGAAUAGUUCGAUUGAUUCUAUCUUGUAUCAUAAUUACAUUUUUAAUGUUAAAACAACACAACAUCAAAAUAAAAUAGAAAUUAAAAUGAAUAGAAAUAAAAUAUAUUUAUGAUAUUACUUGUACUUACCAACCAUUUAAUCAUCCAUUAUUUGGCUUAUGGCUAGGGAUGGCAACGGAGUUGGUAUGGGACGGGUCAUCAAUUCUCACACUCGUCUCGUCGGAUAUUUUUAUUAUCUUACCCUAUACCCAUACCCGAUUAAAGCGGAACGGGGCGGGGCAAAUCUCAUGUCCCAUUUAUCGCCUCAUUUAUUUUUUCAUUUUAUUUUUUGCUUUUAUUUUUUAUGUCAUUAGUUAGUAAAUAGUAUUAUUUUUUUACCAAUUUGUUAAAAACAACUUAUAUUCUCUUUAAAAAGGAUGAUAAAUAUAUUAUUUUUGUUUGAUAAAAACUUAAAUUUGAAAUUAAUAUUAAUUGGGGCGAGAACUAUGUUUUCUGUACCUGUCCUAUACCCGUUUUGGGGCAAUGACCCUCCUCCCAUACCCAUCCCAUAUACCCGGUUAGACGGAUACUAUCCACCCUAGGCAAGCUCCAUGGGUAUAGUGUUAAACGGGUUUUUUUGCCAUCCCUACUCAUGGCACUAAAAAACUCUACAUGAAUAAUUUGAAAAGGCACAAAAAAUAAACAAACAUAAAAAACCUAAAAUAUGUCCAACUAUUAAGAUUUAUCUGAAAAAAAUAUUAUUUAUCUUUAUUACCUAUCUCAAUGCCAUCACAAAAUUUGACCCCUUCGAUGUGAACUUUAUUUUGAAAAACACUCUUCUCGUAAACUGUUUUGUGGACAAACUAUAAGACCACAACCUUUCAUAGAGUUAAAGAACACGUGAAUCAAGCAUGCACCCUCCAAUACUAAUUAAUCACUCGAAAGCAACUCUAGAUACAAGAAUGGAGUGUACAUCCCCCAUAAAUGGAGAUAGAAAUUUAAAUAUAAACUAUUGAUAUUCCGCCAAUUCAAAACAUCAAAUUUUCCGUGUGUAACAUCUUUUGUGGGUUUCGUUAGAUAUCUCGGUACUCAUCUUUUCCAUAGAAAUCCUCUUUGCUAGUUUCCAUUUUCUUGUAACCAAAUUAAAAAUUAUAAUAAUCCCAAUCUUCAUCAUGAGAACUUCCAACAAAGUGACGCCAUCAUUUGAAUCACCAUUACCUCUAUCACUACCACUGUGUGCAAUGCUAUCCCUUUGUAUUGGUUAUAUUUGAUCUUGUUUGUUAAAACUUGUUUUAAAUUAGAGUUUCACAUUUCUUGGGGGUUCGACUUUGAUAGAGUCUUACAAGACACCAACAUAAUGGACAACAAUCUCCAAUUUAAACUAGGAUCAAGUCAACUAUACGAUCAAUAUCAUCUUCAUUUUUUCAACAUACUUGUCAAAGUUAACAUUCAUGCUAUUUGUUGUACUACUUAGCAAUGAAGUAAAUAUUGGAGGAAACAAUAAAGCACUAAACUUGAAGGUGACUUCACAAAAUAGUUCUUAAUGACUUGGCAAAUUUCUAACUUUUUCCCCGUCACAACUCAUAGUUGGCCCUUCUAUUUAUUGUCCACCUUCAUUUGCAUCAAAAUAAUUACAAUAAGAUCCAUCAUUCCUUUCUCCAUCCAAAUAUUUUUAAAAUCCGACGCACUAUCGAACAUUAAGAAUGUUGAAUUUCAUCUAGUAGAAACAUCUAAAACAUCAAGUUUUUUGCAUACAAUCAUUUCUGUUUCGAUACAACAUUUAAAUCUCAUUAAGUGAGCAGGAGAGGAUAAAAAAAAAUUGACCUUAUUGUGACUACUUGCAAUGGAUGUAUUAAAUUCUUUCAACCAUUUUUUAUCAAUCAAAUUGACUAUGCGUGCAAAAGAAAAUACAUGUAAAUAAUUAGCACUUAAAUCAUAUUAUAAGUAAUUAGCUUUUCAAUUCUUCAGCUUGUUUUUCAAAUUAAUGAUUGUUGUAUCAUUUGUGUUUGCAUUUUGAAAAGGGGUGAUACCCAUAUACUCUAUUCCCAAUCUAGCAAACAUUUCAAUAAGUUCCCCAAGUAUUUUCCCUUUAUGAUUUGGAACAACAGAAAAAUCCAAAAUCGUACUGUGCAAUUUUCAACUUUUAUCAAUGAAGUUUGUUGUGAUUACCAUAUUGUUUUGAAUUGAGGUCCAAUAAUUAGUGGUUAAAAAAAACCCUUAGUCUAUCAUUGAUAUAUUCAAUCCUUGACGAUUCAAUUAUUUCUUGGUAGAGAUGAAGCAUAUUUCUUGUAAGCAUUCUUCAGUAAGGAACCUCAAAUCUAGGACAUAUGUUGUCUCACAAAAUCUAGGUCAUAUAUAUUUCUUGAUUUUCGUUGUGUGUGUUGUAGGAUUAUAGUUAUUACUUGGUACUUCGUUGUAAGGGAAAAAAAAUACAAUUAAUCUUGAAAGGUAUUAUUUACUUCCACUUAUGUUAGCCGACUACAAGUAUGUUCUAAAAGUAUUUAUAGAUAGCUCUCAUCAUAAAUAAAGAGAAAUGAGUUAUGAAUAAGUAGAUAACACUUAUGAAUACGUUAAAAUAUGCGAAUAAUUUUUUUUUUAAAUUUAAAUGUUUAUAAACACAAACCAAAUAUUGGCUAAGUCUAAGCUAUACUAUUUCAAGGUGUUAAGAAUGCUUCCCUUUUUAAAAAUUUCUCUAGGUUUCUUAAAUUAUGAGUAAAUUUAAUCGAAGAGAGAUACACUUUAAGGGUCAAAAGAAGGGUAAGCAAGUGAAAUGAUAAACCUAGAAAAUUGUGACGUUAUUAGUGAAAGAAGAAAAAAUGAACUACGAUUACGACCCUAUCAUAAAGAAAGGCAUAUGUGAAAGUGGCCAAGAAGUCUCUCCUCUCUCUCUGGGCAUUUCACUUAGAAUCAAAUCAUUAAUUAUAACUAAAAAAAGUGCUUAAGAGGUUAUUUCUAUGUAUAUCUACCAAGUCAACAAGGUUGACUUAUAGCUCGAAAGACCUGCAACGAUACUGGAGAUAUUUUUUUGUGUUCAUAUGGAACGCUUCAACUGUGCUAAAAAGUCAAAUAUUUAAUCCCAUAAAGUAGCAUUUCCAUUUUUUUGCAAGACCCUUGAUUAUUCUAUGAAUAUGUUAUGCAUGCAAAAUAAAUAUUUUUUAUUUUCACACGAAUUAAAGUAAUGCAAUUAAUAUAAUAGAAAUAUAAUUUUUUAAAUUUUUUUUCUUAAUAUAUCUUUAUAUUAAAUAAUUGACUAAAUAAGAGUAGUCCAUAUUUAUUAAUAACAAAACAGAUUAAAUAGAGGUGCAUCAUAAAAUUAAGAAAUUAAUUAUACUAAAAAUAAGGAAAGUGAUCUAUAAUUUAGGACAAACUUAAAGGGAAAGAAAGCCGAUCUUUAUAGAAUGGAUGGAGUAAUAGACAUUUAUAAUCAUAUAUCUUAAGGGCUCGUUUGGAAGAAUUCUUUCUUGUUUAUUUAUUUAUUUUUUUUAGGAGAAAAGCUUUCCGAACAAGUUAAAUUAGACCAACUUUUUCCAAAAUUUCUUUUAAUCAGAUAAAAUAAUUUCAAAAAGUUAUUCAAAUAUAUUAAAAAGUUACUUCUUUUAAUAUCAAAUUUAACUUUUAAUUUUUUAAAAACUAUGCCAAAAGGACCCUAAAUAAACCUAUAUAAUUCUAGUGCUUAUAAGACAUAAAUCAAAUGAUUUUUCUUUUCACUAAACUUAUGUGGACAACUAUUUCAAUGAAUCAGAAAAUAACCAAAUUAUUACAUCAGCAAAGUCAUAUAGACUGUAAAAUCUUUGAAGCGGUGUAUGUACGUUAUCGAAUAGAAUCAAGUGAAAUUAAGUUGGAGGAAUUUUAAUGUUCACACAUUGUUUUCCCUAUCUCAAGUAGUAGGGUCAAAAUCAACAUGUCAACAAACAAUGAUUAUUUAAACAUAAAUAUAAAUCAAAUCUUUCAUACGAAGUUUAAAAAAUUAGAUAAAGGUAUAAUUCAAUGCUAUAUUUUAACAUGUGAAAUUUCGAGUUUGAGUUUGUCAUCAAUUCAAUUAUUAAAUUUUUCUAAGUUUCUUUGCUCUUUUUUUUUUUUUUUUUUUUUUUUGCAUUACCAAAGUAUUCUUCAAAAAAUAAAAUAAAAUAAAAUAUAUUAUGUUGACGUCAAAAUUAGCAAGGCUAAUCUUAAGCCAACUUUAAGAAAAAAAGGGCAAUUUAUUGUUAAAAAAACCACAAAAUAUGUUUAGAAAGCGUAAUUAUGCCUUGAGUUAUUGUAUGAAAUCACUUUUCUUUUACAAAAGUCCUAUUCAACUAUUUAUACAUAGUUUCAGCCGAUAUUACAUCAAAUCAGUCAAAUCAGCAACAAUACCGAGCUCGAAACUUGGGCCGUCGGAUUCUCUUGUAAUUGGUCGAUGAGGCCGAUGGCCAUGUGUCAAAGUUUUCCCUAGGUAAUGAUGACUUGCAAGGGGCUGUAGGUUGAGGACUUAGGAUUGGUUGUUCCGGGCGGCGAUGAUGUCACCUGUGGCAAGUGUAUUUGAUUAAUAGGGUGAUGUGACAGGGGGUAAUAAUGAUGUUUUUCUGAGAUAACGGCGGGAUUGUUCGACCUGGGAGUAAGGACCGAACUCACAUUUAACUGAGGUGGGGUUAGCGAACUGUUUUUAUUAUAUCGGAGUUCGGAUGUCAACAGUUACCCCCCAGGUCAGUUCUUCCAUAAGGGGGGCUGACCUUCUGACUUCAUGGGUUCUUUUUUCAAGAAAAGUAAUUAUUAUUAUGCCAAGUGUCAUGCUUGGGUAGGGAUGAGCCAUACGACAUUUUUAGAUAGCUUGAUAAGUUUUCUGAUACUGUGUCGUUUUGCCCAGGAGACAUUUCAACCGUAGAUCUUCCCUCCUUUAUUUUGAACUAACGGCCAGAUUAAAACCCUUUAUCUUCCUUCUUUUUAAAUAUUCAAUGGCUUUUCAUUUUUUCUUUUUACUUUACACUGUUUUCUCUCAAAGCACCAAGGAAUUCUGAGCACGCCCUGUCUGUAGUUUGAGUAAGGUCGUCCUUCGAGUUCCCAGGUAUUCCUUCGCUUCUUCACUUUGUCCGUUUGUUUUGUUCUUUUCCAUGAGUUCGGAUGAGUCGAGGGUUCAAUCCUGGGAAAAUCAACAGGAAGAAUCCGUCCCUUCUACUUCUAGUUCGUGCUCGGGGUGUAGAGAGAUUAUUACUCCUGUUCCUAUUUCUAUUGUUAACCCCAUUACUUUGGCCCGUCCUGGGGAGAUGGGGCGAGAUAGGGUAGAUGAGGAGGUGGGUUCCCCUAUGGGUAGUGAAGGGAAUGAUCAGUUGGAGUGGGGGGCUGGUUCUUAUAGGUCGGUAGUUACAGGUGAUAUGUUAGCUAGUUGGAGGGCAAAAUAUGAUAUUUCGAGUUCGGUAAUUAUGAUAAUCCAUGAACCAUCCGACCAUGUUGACACUCCCCCUAUGGGAUGUGUCGCAUUGAAUUCUGCCAUCCUUCAAGUCGGGUUGAGAUUACCUAUUCCUAGGGUUAUUCAUAAGUUCUUGUCUUCUUAGGGCAUAGCUCCGACCCAGUUAUGCCCAAAUGGGUGGUGGACUCUGAUCGUCACGCUUAUUCUGUGAGAUAGAUUAGGUAACCCUGAGCUUAUGGUUGAGCAGUUCAACUCUUUAUUUACUUUUAAGGAGGAUGGGAAGAACUCGGGUUGGUGGUAUACAAGUGUUAGGCCAAGGACGGGAGGUUCUCUGGUUUUAGACAUCCCUUCGUCGAUUAAGAAAUGGAAGGAAGAGUGGUUCUAUGUGUCAGGGGAGUAGCAAUUUCAUUCUGUCGAGGUAAAUAGGGACGACAUGGUCCCAGUGCUUUAUCACUCGUUAUGUAAGUAACUGCCUCUUGGUGUUUUGACCUAGAUUGUAUUCCAAGCGGCUCUAAUUGAUAUCAUGUUACUGUGCAGAUUACAAGAGGCCUACACUGAAGAAAGACACUCAGAGGCGAGCGGAAGCAAUCUAUGCAUUGCCCAAGAAACAGAGAUCUUGCAAAUUUUUUCUCUCGAAUUCCAACCUUUUCCAGGCCUGCUUGAUUAAAACCAGGGUGUCGGGGCCUUCCGCCGUUGCAGUGUCUACAUCGGUUUUGACUAGUUCAGGUCGAUUUUGAUUGGUUUAUUGAAGUGAUAUUUGUUAGAGUUUAGUACUGACAUACUUUUUUGUUUACAACUCACAAUUCAGAAAUGUUGGGAUACAAGGCGGCGAAAGCUACGGUCAUGGCGAAGGCCAAGAAAAGGGACGUUCUAGAGCGGGAUGAAAGUCGUUCGAAGGAAGUAGAGGGCGAGGUCCCCUUGAAGAGGAACCGUACUGGUACGUCGGCCGCACUAAGGGUCCCUGAAAUUGAUCCUGCGUUGAGCUAUUCUCCUUUGGUGGCCAUCACUUUGCCAUCUUCAGCUCAUACCUAGCCACCUCCUACGGCAUCUGCUUUCGCUUUGACUAUCUCGAUAAGGGUGUAGGAGAGGUGCCCGGACUUACAGAGGCCAUCAUUGGACAAUCUGCUAGGCCACUGUCCAGAGAUCUUCUUGGAUUACUUGUGAGCUCCAUCUCCAUCGAGGGAGGUUACUGCUGCACUUUCCCUCCACCUCUGCGUGAUUCUGCAAACCUGUUUACCAGGAGUUGGGGUGAAAGGGAGCAGGGCUUCCUUAAUGAGAUACCCAUAGGCGAGGCCCUAGUGAGAGCUCAACUCCACGACCAUUGCUCUAUCCUGUACACGACGAUCGUAGCUGAUAAGGUAUUUUCCUUACUUCAUUUUAUUUGAUGAUUUACAUAUUUGCGAGGUGCUUAACUUAUGGAUUUUAAUUUAGGUGAAAUCUAAGCUCGACAAACUAAUGGAGGCCAAGGAUCAGACCUUGAAUUUGUAUAAUAGCAUGGAGGCUGAGAGAGCUCAGUUUGCAAUAAAAGAAAAAGAAUACGAUGAGAAGCUUAACACAAUGGGGUUUGAGCUGAACUCGAGGCUGGAUAUGGAGGAGAAGUGGAUGGGGGAGAUUAGAGCUCUGAGGGGGGAGGCCGGUCGUAAGGCUAAGGCUGAGAAGAAGAUGAUUGAAGAAGAGAGAGUUCGGACUGAGGAGGCUGUGGAGAAGGUACGGAAGGCAAAUGAGAGAGCAAGAGAGGCGAUGCAUAGAGCUGAGGAGGCUGAAUCUAGGGCUGCAAGGGCAGUGGAGACUUGGAGGUCGUCCUCCGAGUUUGACGCUCUUGCUCUGGAUGCUUACGUCGUGGCUUUGGAGGAAGUAGUAAAACACAUUCGCAGAGAGAGGCCAGGAUUCGACAUGGGUUUCCUUGAGGAGGCUAUGGAAGAGCAGAAGGAAGAGCUUCAGCAUUUGUCAGAAGCAGCAGGGGUUUGGAUUUCUCCUGCUGAUGAAGAUGAUGUCGCUCCUCGCGAAGACUUCCCUCCCCCUAGCUCUUCUUAGGACAUUUUUUGGAUUUGUGAUGAAUUUGUUAAACUUUACGGAUAUCUUGUUUGUGGUUGAAGAUGAGCCGUAUUCUAUUUUGAAUGCUUAUGAAAAUGCAUGUUUUUUUUUGUGGGGUCUAAGUUUUAUUGGUUAUUUCAUCCUUUCGUAAAGUUUUAAUGAUGGAAUGUCUUCUAGUCAGUGUAUGUGACAGAACUCGUAAGACUUGCACAUGCUGGUAGGCUUCGUAGAAUUUUCAAAUAGGAAUUUUCGCUAAGGAUCGCAACACUUACGACCUUAGAUCGGCCUGCGUAUGGAGCAAGGUUUUGUAAGAUUCUUUAGGAGGAAUGUCCACUAAGGGUAACACGUACAACCUUAGAUCGGCCUACGUAAGAAGCAGAGCUUUGUAAGAUUCCUUACGAGGAAUGUUCACUAGGGGUCGCAGCACUUACGACCUUAGAUCGGCCUGCGUAUGGAGCAGGACUUUGUAAGAUUUCUUAGGAGGAAUGUCCACUAAGGGUAACACGUUCAGCCUUAGAUCGGCCUGCGUAUGUAGUAGGGCAUUGUAAGAUUCCUUAGGAGGAAUGUUCACUAAGGGUCGCAGCACUUAUGACCUUAGAUCGGCCUGCGUAUGGAGCAGUGCUUUGUAAGAUCCUUAGGAGGAAUGUCUACUAAGGAUAACACGUCCAACCUUAGAUCAACCUGCGUAAGUAGCAGGGCUUUGUAAGAUUCCUUAGGAGGAAUGUUCACUAAGGGUCGCAGCAUUGACGACCUUAGAUCGGCCUACGUAUGGAGCAGGGUUUUGUUAGAUUUUUUGGAAGGAAUGUCCACUAAGGGUAACACGUACAGCCUUAGAUUGGCCUACAUAUGUAGCAGGGCUUUGUAAGAUUCUUCAGGAGGAAUGUCUACUAAGGGUCGCAGCACUUACGCCCUUAGAUCGGCCUGCGUAUGGAGUAGGGCUUUGUAAGAUUCCUUUUCUUCUCGUUUAGGUCGAGUUUCGUAUGAAGAGCCAUGUGGUUCCUUUUGCAGCGAGGGAAUUCUGAUUUCUAGUGGGAUCACAGCCUCUACACCGAAAGCCAGUGAGAACGCUAUUUCUCCCGUACUAGUCCUUGCAGUGGUGCGAUAAAACUCUAGCACACUGGGGAGUUCUUUGGCCCAUCCUCCUUUAAACAAGUCGAGUUUUGCUUUCAAUAUAUGUUUAAUAAUUUUGUUAUUGGCUUCGACUUGGAUGUUUUCCUGCGGAUGGUUCGGCGUUGAGAAAUAUUUCUUGAUGCUUAACUCUUCACAGAAAUCUGAAAGUCAUGCGUUGUCGAGCUAUUUUCCAUUGUCCGUAACAAUGGAGUGAGGUAUGCCGAACCUGCAGAUGAUUAAUUUUCACAAAAAGUCGAUUGUUUUCUGUUCGGUGAUCUUGGCAAGUGGCUCUACCUCAGCCCAUUUGGUGAAGUAAUCAACUGCAACGAUGGCAAAUUUUACACCUCCUUUUCCAACGUUCAUAAGUCCAAUUAGGUCAACCCCCCAUUUUGCAAAGGGCCAAGGUGUUGUUACUGGGUUCAACUCGCGUGGUGAAGCAUUUAUGAUGGGGGCGAGGUGCUGGCAUUUGUUACAUCUUUUGACAAAUUCAAGGAAAUCACGUCUUAUUGCAGGCCAGAAUUAUCCUUGUCAUAUGAUCUUAUGGGCUAGUGAGAGCCCACCUGAAUGGUUUCCACAUAUUCCUUCGUGAACGUCUUGCAGGGUAUGCUGAGCUUCUUCUUCAUUUAAACACCUUAACAAAGGAUUAGAAUAUCCCCGUUUGUAUAGUACAUCAUCAUUGAGUGUAUACCUGGCCGACCUGAUUCGAUGCUUUCUAGCCGCUGCAAAAUUUUCGGGACAUUUCCCGAUUUUUAGGUAGGUGAUGAUCUCAUCCUGCCAAGUUGGUUUGGAGUCUAUCAUCAUAUGGACCACUUCGUCCAGCUCGGUAGACGAUAGGGAUAUUCUUCCCAUGGGGAUGCUAUCGAAUUUUUCAAUUCCCUCAUUGGUGGCUAGCCGGGCCAGCGCGUCGGCGUGACCGUUCUAUGACCGGGAAAUUUGCCUGACUUCAGCGGUGUUGAACUUUUCAAGUUCUUUUCUUAUAACUUGUAGAUAGUUGUCCAUUCUUUCUUCUUUUACCAUAUAUACGUCGUUGACCUGAUUUAUGACUAGUUGAGGGUCGCUGUGUAUGAUCAGGUCGGAGAUCCCCAACCCUGAGGCCAUACUUGUGUCGGUAAUGAGAGCGAGGCUUUAAAGUUAAAUGGAAAGGUUUCGCAGAAUAUGCGAUGUUCAGGGCUGAUUAAUACGACGCCUACUCCAAAUCAUUCUCCAGUGGAUGAACCAUCGACAUAAAGUCUCCAUGGGGUUUCUUCUUGCAGUUCCUCGACUGGAGGUUUCUUCUUGUAGUUCCUCGAUUGGGACAUCGCAAAACUCAGAGACAAAGUCGGUUAGUGUUUGGCCCUUGAUGGAGGAACGUGGCGUGUAUUUGAUGUCGAAUCGUCCAAGCUCGACUUCCCAUUUUACCAUCCAACCUGAAGUGUCGGGUCUUUGUAGUGUUUGCCUUAAUGAAGAGUUGGUGAGAACCUCAAUGGGGUGUUCCAAGAAAUCUGGCCUUAGUUUUUGCGCGGUUAUCAGCAGGGUGAAUGCUAGUUUCUCUACAGAUGAAUAUCUAAGCUCGGCUUCGUAAAGCGCUUUGCUUACGUAAUAGACUGGGUGUUGAACACCGUUCUCUUCUCGGGUUAGAAUCGCACUAAUGGCGUGUUCUGAAACAGAUAAAUAAAGCUUCAGGACCUCGUCGGCCUUAGGUUUUGAAAGCAACAGAGGCUGAGCUAGUUGUCUCUUUAGCUCGUUAAAGGCGUCUUGGCAUUCUUUGGUCCAUUCGAACUUCUUUCCUCCUCGUAAUGUGUCAAAGAAGGGUUUGCAACAGUCCGUACACUUGGAGACGAAUCGGCUGAGGGCGGCAAUCCUUCCGGUUAAACUUUGUGCCUAUCUAGGUUUAGUUGGAGGCCUCAUUUGAAUGACAGCUUGUAUUUUUUUCAGAAUUUGCCUCGAUUCCUCGGUUGUUCACAAUGUAACCUAGGAAUCUUCUAGAGCUGACCCCGAAAGCACAUUUCCUUGAGUUCUACUUCAUUCUAUACUUCCUCAGUAUAUCAAACAUCUCGGUUAGGUACUGACAGUGAUCCUUGGCCUUGAUGCUUUUGACCAGCAUAUCGUCAACACACACUUCUAUUAUUUUUUCGAUCUGUUGGAAAAACAUGGAAUUCACUAGUCGUUGGUAGGCCGCACCAGUGUUUUUUAGACCAAAUGGCAUUACUAUGUAGUAGUAAAGACCUCGGUCAGUUACAAGCGAGGUAUGUUCUUGAUCUGAGCCGUACAUCGGUAUCUAGUUAUAUCCGGAAUAUGCGUCCAUGAAGCUGAGUAGUUCGUGUCCAGUAGUGGCGUCCACCAUUUGAUCUAUUCUUGGCAAAGGAAACUGUCUUUUGGGCAUACUUUGUUGAGGUCGGUGAAGUCUAUGCAUACCCUCCAAUUUCCGUUGUGUUUUUUCACAAGGACCGAAUUUGCGACCCACUUCGGGUAUUUGGCCUUACGGAGGAAACCAUUAUGCAACAGUUUUUGCACCUGCUUGUUGAGUACUUCAUAUCUUUCAAGGUUCAGAGGUCAUCGUUUUUGCUGCUUUGGUCGAACUGAAGGAUCCACCUGUAAUUUGUGGCAUACGAUGUUGGGGUCUAUUCCUCUCAUGUCCCCGUGAUUCCCGGCGAAGACAUCAAGGUUUUGUCGAAGGAAGGCCACAAUUUCAGUUCGGGUGGAUGGCUGUAGCUCGCGCUCGACUUUGAGCUCCUUUGUUGGGUCCUUGGCACAGACUUGAACUCCUUCUAGUUCUUCGACAGGUACUCCUCCUUCGAUCCUGGUCGCAGGUCUAAUGGAAUGAGCUCGGAUUCCCAUACGUUUGCCUUAUACACUCUCGGGGAGUUGCGUUGAUGGAUGGUACAACUUUUCCUCAUGGCAGUCGUUUGAGGGUCCUGCCGUUGUGGAGAACUUGGUGGUGCAUUUGUUUCAUGAAGGUGGGUGUGAAAUGGAUUUCUGGAACUUGAGCUACGACUCAUGGCUCUCGGAUUUUGUGGAGAGAAUGAGACUAUUUUUCACAAUUAGGGCCCUCUUUCUAGCGCCAAACUGUUGAUGUCAAAAUUAGCAAGACUAAUCUUAAGCCAACUUUAAGAAAAAAAUGGCGAUUUAUUGUUGAAAAAAAACCAUAAAAUAUGUUUAGAGAGCGUAAUUAUGCCUUGAGAGCUUUUAUGAAAUCACUUUUCCUUUACAAGAGUCAUAUUCAACUAUUUAUACAUAGUUUCAGCCGACAUUACAUCAAAUCAAUUAAAUUAGCAACAGUACCGAGCUCGAAACUCGGGUCGUCGGAUUCUCUUGUGAUUGGUCGAUGAGACGUGACCAUGUGUCAAUAUUUUCCCCAGGUAAUGAUGACCUGCAAGGGGCUGGAGGUUGAAGACUUAGGAUUGGUUGUUCCGGGCGGUGAUGAUGUUGCCUGUGGCAAGUGUAUUUGAUUGAUAGGGUGAUGUAACAUGGGGUAAUCAUUGUGUUUUUCUGAGAUAACGGCGGGAUUGUCCGACCUGGGAGUAAUGACCGAACUCACAUUUAAUUGAGGUGGGGUUAGCGAACUGUUUUUAUUAGAUCGGAGUUCGGAUGUCAACAUAUAAAAAUAUUAAAACCCCCACUAGGCCACUCUCAUUCGCCAUAUAAAAAAUAAAAUAAAAAAAUAAAAACAAAGAAAAAAUGAAACUUUUUUUUUAUGAUCAUGGGUGUCCGAACUAGCUUACACACCUCGACUAAUCCUACGGGUUUUUAAAGUUUACAGUUGAAUGCUCACUUCUGCGGUCUUGAGGAGACUAGAAUUGGUGAACAUUGUGGAGCAAACUGAUGACCUGAUCACUGAGUUACCCCUUAGGGUUAGAAAAAGAUGAAACUGAAAGUAGAGCUAAUUCUUCUUGGGGGUUCGACUUUGAUAGAGCCAUACAAGACACCAAUACAAGCAACAACAACAACCAAUUAAAAAAAGAAAAAAGGAAAAUGAUACGAUCAAUAUCUUAUUCAUUUUUUCAACAUACCUGUCAAAGUUAACAUUCAUGCUAUUUGUUGUACUACUUAGCAAUGAAGUAAAUAUUGGAGGAAACAAUGAAGCGCUAAACUUCAAGGAGACUUCACAAAUAGUUCUUAAUGACUUGGCAAAUUUAUAACUUUUUCCCGGUCACAACUCAUAGUUGGCCCUACUAUUUAUUUUCCACCUUCAUUUGCAUCAAAAUAAUUACAAUAAAAUCCAUCAUUCCUUUCUCCAUCCAAAUAUUUUUUAAAGUCCGACGCACUAUCGAACAUUAAGAAUGUUGAAUUUCAUCUAGUAGAAACAUCUAAAACAUCAAGUUUUUUGCAUACAAUCAUUUCUGUUUCAAUACAACAUUUAAAUUUCAUUAAGUGCGCGGGAGAGGAUAAAAAAAUUUGGCCUUAUUGCGACUACUUGCAAUGGAUGUAUUAAACUCUCUCAACCAUUUUUUAUCAAUCAAAUUGACUAUGCGUGCAAAAGAAAAUACAUGUAAAUAAUAAGCACUUAAAUCAUAUUAUAAUUAAUUAGCUUUUCAAUUCUUCAGCUUGUUUUUCAAAUUAAUGAUUGUUGUAUCAUUUGUGUUUGCAUUUUGAAAAGGGGUGAUACCCAUAUACUCUAUUCCCAAUCUAGCAAACAUUUCAAUAAGUUCCCCAAGUAUUUUCCCUUUAUGAUUUGGAACAACAGAAAAAUCCAAAAUCGUACUGUGCAAUUUUCAACUUUUAUCAAUGAAGUUUGUUGUGAUUACCAUAUUGUUUUGAAUUGAGGUCCAAUAAUUAGUGGUUAAAAAAAACCCUUAGUCUAUCAUUGAUAUAUUCAAUCCUUGACGAUUCAAUUAUUUCUUGGUAGAGAUGAAGCAUAUUUCUUGUAAGCAUUCUUCAGUAAGGAACCUCAAAUCUAGGACAUAUGUUGUCUCACAAAAUCUAGGUCAUAUAUAUUUCUUGAUUUUCGUUGUGUGUGUUGUAGGAUUAUAGUUAUUACUUGGUACUUCGUUGUAAGGGAAAAAAAAUACAAUUAAUCUUGAAAGGUAUUAUUUACUUCCACUUAUUUUUAUGGCUUAAUUUCUUAGCCUCUAUUUGAUAGAAAUUUAUAAAUGAUUUAUGAAUUUAAAUUGGAAGUCAUGUGUAAAUUUAAACAGCACAUUAAUAACUACUAAUCUUUAUAAUACAUACAUUUCAUGAGGUCAAUUGCUAUUUCUCUUUAUAAAUUUGCUAAACGAAGUUUUAGUUGUAAGUUAAAGUUUAAAAAAAUUAUGCCUGGCCAAAUAUGCUUGAAAUAGAAGAAGUGAUAAUGUAUUAAGGUGCUCUUGCUUGCCAUUUGUUGGAACAAUGUUAGCCGACUAUAAGUAUGUUUUGAAAGUAUUUAUAGAUAGUUCUCAUCAUAAAUAAAGAGAAAUGUGCUAUGAAUAAGUAGAUAACACUUAUGAAUACGAUAAAAUAUGGGAAUAAUUUAUUUUAUUUAUUAUUAUUUUUUUUAAUUUGAAUGUUUGUAAACACAAACCAAAUAUUGGCUAAGUCUAAGCUAUACUAUUUCAAGGUGUUAAGAAUGCUUCCCUUUAAAAAAAUUUCUCUGGGUUUCUUAAAUUUUGAGUAAAUUUAAUAGAAGAGAGAUACACUUUAAGAGUCAAAAGAAGGGUAAGCAAGUGAAAUGAUAAACCUAGAAAAUUGUGACGUUUUUAGUGAAAGAAGAAAAAAUGAACUACGAUUACGACCCUAUCAUAAAGAAAGGCAGAUGUGAAAGUGGCCAAGGAGUCUCCCUCUCUCAGGGCAUUUCACUUAGAUUAAUAUCAGUCAAAUCAUUAAUUAUAACUAAAAAAAGUGCUUAAGAGGUUAUUUCUAUGUAUAUAUCCUAAGUCAACGAUACUGGAGAUAUUUUGUGUUUAUAUAGAAUGCUUCAACUGUGCUGAAAAGUCAAAUAUUUAAUCCCAUAAAGUAGCAUUUCCCUUUUUUUGCAAGACCUCUUGAUUAUUCUAUGAAUAUGUUAUGCAUGCAAAAUAAAUAUUUUUAUUUUCACACGAAUUAAAGUAAUGCAAUUAAUAUAAUAAAAAUAUAAUUUUUAAAAAAAAAUUCUCAAUACAUCUUUAUAUUAAAUAAUUGACUAAAUAAGAGUAGUCCAUAUUUAUUAAUAACAAAACAGAUUAAAUAGAGGUGCGUUAUAAAACUAAGAAAUUAAUUAUACUAAAAAUAAGGAAAGUGAUCUAUAAUUUAGGACAUACUUAAAAGGAAAGAAAGCCGAUCUUUAUAGGAUGGAUGGAGUAAUAGACAUUUAUAAUCAUUUAUCUUAAGGGCUCGUUUGGAAGAAUUCUUUCUUGUUUAUUUAUUUAUUUUUUUUAGGAGAAAAGCUUUCCGAACAAGUUAAAUUAGACCAAAAUAAUUCCAAAAAGUUAUUCAAAUAUAUUAAAAAGUUGCUUCUUUUAAUAUCAAAAUUAACUUUUAAUUUUUUAAAAACUAUGCCAAAAGGACCCUAAAUAAACCUAUAUAAUUCUAGUGCUUAUAAGACAUAAAUCAAAUGAUUUUCCUUUUCUCUAAACUUAUGUGGACAACUAUUUCAAUGAAUCAGAAAAUAACCAAAUUAUUACAUCAGCAAAGUCAUAUAGACUGUAAAAUCUUUGAAGCAGUGUAUGUACGUUAUCGAAUAGAACCAAGUGAAAUUAAGUUGGAGGAAUUUUAAUGUUGACACAUCGUUUUUCCUAUCUCAAGUUUGCAGGGUCAAAAUCAACAUGUCAACAAACAAUGAUUCUUUAAACAUAAAUAUAAAUCAAAUCUUUCAUACGAAGUUUAAAAAAUUAGAUAAAGGUAUAAUUCAAUUCUAUAUUUUAACAUGUGAAAUUUCGAGUUUGAGUUUGUCAUCGAUUCAAUUAUUAAAUUUUUCUAAGUUUUUUUUUUUUUUUUUUUUUUUUGCAUUACCAAAGUAUUCUUCAAAAAAUAAAAUAAAAUAAAAUAAAAUAUAUAAUGUUGACGUCAAAAUUAACAAAGCUAAUCUUAAGUCAACUUUAAGAAAAAAAAAAGGCAAUUUAUUGUUGAAAAAAGACAACAAAAUAUGUUUAGAGAGCGUAAUUCUGCCUUGAGUUGUUGUAUGAAACCACUUUUCCUUUACAAGAGUUCUAUUCAACUAUUUAUACAUAGUUUCAGCCGACAUUACAUCAAAUCAGCAAUAGUACCGAGCUCGGAACUCGAGUCGCCAGAUUCUCUUGUGAUUGGUCGAUGAGGCCGAUGGCCAUGUGUCAAUGUUUUCCCCAUGUAAUGAUGACCUGCAAGGGGCUAGAGGUUGAGGACCUAGGAUUGGUUGUUCCGAACGGUGAUGAUGUCACCUGUGGCAAGUAUAUUUGAUUGAUUGGGUGAUGUGACAGGGGGUAAUCAUGAUGUUUUUCUGAGAUAACGGUGAGAUUGUCCGACCUGGGAGUAAGAACCGAACUGACAUUUAACUGAGGUGGGAAUAACGAACUCUUUUUAUUAGAUCGGAGUUCGGAUGUCGACAGUUACUCCCCAGGUCAGUUCUUCCAUAAGGGGGGCUGACCUUCUGACUUCACGGGUUCUUUUUCCAAUAAAAGUAAUUAUUAUUAUGCCAAGUGUCAUGCCUGGGUAUGGAUGAGCUGUACAGCAUUUUUAGAUAGCUUCUUUGAUAAGUUUCCCGAUGCGUGUCAUUUUACCCAGGAGAUAUUUCAACUGUAGAUCUUCCCUCUUUUAUUUUGAACUAAUGGCCCAAAUUAAAACCUUUUAUCUUCCUUCUUUUUAAAUAUUCAAUGACUUUUCAUUUUGUCUUUUUACUUUACACUGUUUUCUCUCAAAGCACCAAGGAAUUUCGAGCACGCCCUGUCUGUCGUUUGAGUAAGGUCGUCCUUCGAGUUUCCAAGUAUUCCUUCACUUCUUCACUUAGUCCGUUUGUUUUGUUCUUUUCCAUGAGUUUGGACGAGUCGAGGGUUCAAUCAUGGGGAAAUCAACAGGAAGAAUCUGUCCCUUCUACUUCUAGUUCAUCUUCGGGGUGUAGAGAGAUUUUUACUCCUGUUCCUAUUUUUAUUGCUAACUCCGUUACUUUGGCCCGUCCUGGAGAGAUGGGGCGAGAUAGGGUAGACGAGGAGGUGGGUCUCCCUAUGGGUAGUGAAGGGAACGAUCAGUUGGAGCGGAGGGCUGAUUCUUACAGGUCGGUAGUUACAGGUGAUAUGUUAGCUAGUUGGAGGGCAAAAUAUAAUAUUUCGAGUUCAGUAAUUAUGAUAAUCCCUAAACCAUUUGAUCGUGCUGACACUCCCCCUAUGGGACGUGUCGCAUUGAAUUCUGCCAUCCUUCAAGCCGGGCUGAGAUUACCUAUUCCUAGGGUUAUCCGUAAGUUCUUGUCUUCUUGGGGCAUAGCUCCGACCCAGUUAUGCUCAAAUGGCUGACGGAUUCUGAUCACCACGCUUAUUCCGUGGGAUAGAUUAGGUAACCCUGAGCUUAUGGUUGAGCAGUUCAACUCUUUAUUUACUUUUAAGGAGGAUGAGAAGAACUUGGGUUGGUGGGACACAAGUGUUAGGCCAAGGACGGGAGGUUAUCUGGUUUUAGACACCCCUCCUCGAUUAAGAAAUGGAAUGAAGAGUGGUUCUAUGUGUUGGGGGAGUGGCAGUUUCAUUUUGUCGAGGUGAAUAGGGACGACGUGAUCUCAGCGCUUUAUCACUCGUUAUGUAAGUAACUACCUCUUGGUGUUUCGAUCUAGAUUGUAUUUCGAGCGGCUCUAUUGAUAUCAUGUUACUGUACAGAUUACAAUAGGCCUACACUGAAGAAAGGCACUCAGAGGCGAGCGGAAGCAAUUCGUGCAUUGUCGAAGAAACAGAGAUUUUGUAAAUUUUUGCUCCUGAAUUCCAACCUUUUCCAGGUCGGCUUGAUUAAAACCAGGGUGCCGGAGCCUUUCACCGUCACAGCGUCUACAUCGGUUCCAACUAGUUCAGGUCGAUUUUGAUUGGUUUAUUGAGGUGAUAUUUGUUAGAGUUGAGUACUAACAUACUUUUUUGUCUACAGCUCACAGUUUAGAAAUGUUAGGAUACAAGGCGGUGAAAGCUGCUGCUGCAGCGAAGGCCAAGAAGUGGGACAUCCCAGAAUGGGAUGAAAGUCAUUCUGAGGAAGUGGAGGACGAGGUCCCCUUGAAGAGGAACCGUACUGGUACGCCGGCCGCACCAAGGGUCCCUGAAGCUGAUCCUGCGUUGAGCUCUUCUCUUUUGGUGGCCAUCACUUUGCCGUCUCCAGCUCGUACCCCACCACCUCAUGCGGUACCUGCUUCUACUUUGACUAGCUCGACAAGGGUACAGGAGAGGUGCCCCGACAUAUAGAGGCCAUCACUGGACAGUCUGCUAGGCCACUGUCCAGAGAUCUUUCUGGAUUACUUGCGAGCUCCAUCUCCAUUGAGGGAGGUUACUGCUGCACUUCCCCCACCUCUGCGUGAUUCUGCAAACCUACUUACCAGGAGUUGGGGUGAAAGGGAGUAGGGCUUCCUUAAUGAGAUGCCCAUAGGUGAGGCCCUAGUGACUGCUCAACUCCACGGCCAUCGCUUUAUCCUGUACAUGACGGACGUAGCUGAUAAGGUAUUUUCCAUAUUUGAUGAUUUACAUAUUUACGAGGUGCUUAACUUAUGGAUUUUAAUGUAGGUAAAAUCUGAGCUCGACAAAUUGAUGGAGGCCAAGGAUCAGGCGUUGAAUUUGUAUAACAGCAUGGAGGUUGAGAGAGCUCAGUUUGCAAUAAAAGAAAAAGAAUACGAGGAGAAGCUUAACACGAUGGGGUUUGAGCUGAACUCGAGGCUGGAAAUGGAGGAGAAGUGGAUGGGGGAGAUUAGAGCUCUGAGGGGAGAGGCCAAUCAUAAGGCUGAGACUAAGAAGAAGAGGAUUGAGGAAGAGAGAGUUCGGACUGAGGAGGCUGUGGAGAAGGUACGGGAGGCAAAUGAGAGAGCGAGAGAGGCGAUGCGUAGAGCUGAGGAGGCUGAAUCUAGGGCUGCGAGGGUAGUGGAGACUUGGAGGUCGUCUUCCGAGUUUGACGCUCUUGCUCAGGAUGCUUAUGUCGUGGCUCUGGAGGAAGUAGUAAAACACAUUCGCAGAGAAAGGCCAGGGUUCGACGUGGGUUUCCUUGAGGAGGUUGUGGAAGAGCAGAAGGAAGAGCUUCAGCGUUUGUCGGAAGCGGCAGGGGUUUGGAUUUCUCCUGCUCAUGAAGAUGAUGUCGCUCCUUGCGAAGACCUCCCUCCCCCUAGCUCUUCUUAGGACAUUUUUUGGAUUUGUGAUGAAUUUGUUAAACUUUAUGGAUAUCUUGUUUGUGCUUGAAGAUGAGCCGUACUCUAUUUUGAAUGCUUAUGAAAAUGCAUAUUUUUUUUGUGGGGUCUAAAUUUUAUUGCUUAUUUCAUCCUUUCGUAAAGUUUUAAUGAUGGAAUGUCUUCUAGUCAGCGUAUGUAACAGCACUCCUAAGUCAUGCGAACCUAGAUCGACUUGCACAUGCUGCAGGGCUUCGUAGAAUUUCCAAAUAGGAAUCUUCGCUAAGGGUCAUAGCAUUUACGACCUUAGAUUGGCCUACGUAAGUAGCAGGGAUUUGUAAGAUUCCUUAAGAGGAAUAUUCACUAAGGGUAACACGUAAAGCCUUAGAUUGACCUGCGUAAGUAGUGGGGCUUUGUAAGAUUCCUUAGGAGGAAUGCUCACUAAGGGUCGCAGCACUUAUGACCUUAGAUCGGCUUACGUAUGGAGCAGGAUUUUUUAAGAUUUCUUAGGAGGAAUGUCCACUAAGGGUAACAUGUACAGCCUUAGAUCGGCCUGCGUAAGUAGCAGGGCUUUGUAAGAUUCCUUAGGAGGAAUGUUCACUAAGGGUCGCAGUACUUACGACCUUAGAUCGGCCUGCGUAUGGAGCAGGACUUUGUAAGAUUUCUUAGGAGGAAUGUCCACUAAGGGUAACACGUUCAGCCUUAGAUCGGCCUGCGUAUGUAGCAGGGCUUUGUAAGAUUCUUUAGGAGGAAUGUUCACUAAGGGUCGCAGCACUUCUGACCUUAGAUCGGCCUGCGUAUAGAGCAGGGUUUUAUAAGAUUCCUUAGGAGGAAUGUCCACUAAGGGUAACAUGUACAGCCUUAGAUCGGCCUGCGUAAGUGGCAGGGUUUUGUAAGAUUUCUUAGGAGGAAUGUUCACUAAGGGACGCAGCACUUGCAACCUUAGAUCGGCCGACGUAUGGAGCGGGGCUUUGUUAGAUUUCUUAGGAGGAAUGUCCACUAAGUGUAACACGUACGGCCUUAGAUCGGCCUGCGUAUGUAGUUGGGUUUUGUAAGAUUCCUUAAGAGGAAUGUCCACUAAGGGUUGCAGCACUUACGUCCUUAGAUCGGUCCGCGUAUGGAGCAGGGUUUUGUAAGAUUUCUUAGAAGAAAUGUCCACUAAGGGUAACACGUACAACCUUAGAUCAGCCUGCAUAGGGAGUAGGGCUUUGUAAGAUUCCUUAGGAGAAAUUUCCACUAAGGGUAACACGUACAACCUUAGAUCGACCUGUGUAUGUAGCAGAGCUUUGUAAGAUUCCUUAUGAGGAAUGUCCACUAAGGGUCGCAGCACUUAUGCCCUUAGAUCGGCCUGCGUAUGGAGCAGGGCUUUGUAAGAUUUAUUUUCUCCUCGGUUAGGUUGAGUUCCGUACGAAGAGCCAUGUGGUUCCUUUCGCAGUGAGGGAAUGCUGACUUCUAGUGGGAUCACAGCCUCUACACCGAAAGCCAGUGAGAACGAUAUUUCUCCCGUACUAGUCCUUGCAGUGGUGCGAUAAGACCAUAGCACACUGGGGAGUUCUUUGGCCCAUCAUCCUUUAAACAAGUCGAGUUUUGCUUUCAAUUUAUGCUUAAUAAUUUUGUUAAUGGCUUCGACUUGGCUGUUUUCCUACGGAUGGUUCGGCGUUGAGAAAUAUUUCUUGAUGCUGAACUUCUCACAGAAAUCUGAAAGUCUUGCGUUGUCGAACUGUUUUCCAUUGUCUGUAACAAUGGAGUGAGGUAUGCCGAACCUGCAGAUAAUUUAUUUUUACAAAACGUCGAUUAUUUUUUGUUCAGUGAUCUUGGCAAGUGGCUCUGCCUCGGCCCAUUUGGUGAAGUAAUCAACUGCGACGAUGGCGAAUUUUACACCUUCUUUUCCAACAGGCACAGGUCCAAUUAGGUCGACCCCCCAUUUUGCAAAGGGCUAAGGUGCUAUUACUGGGUUCAACUCGCGCGGUGGAGCGUUUAUGAUGGGGGCGAGGCGCUGGCAUUUGUCGCAUCUUUUCACAAAUUCAAGGAAAUCACGUCUUAUUGCAGGCUAGAAGUAUCCUUGUCAUAUGAUCUUGUGGGCUAGUGAGAGCCCACCUGAAUGGUUUCCACAUAUUCCUUCGUGAACGUCUUGCAGGGCAUACUGAGCUUCUUCUUCAUUUAAACACCUUAACAAAGAAGUAGAAUAUCCCCGUUUGUAUAGUACAUCGUCAAUGAGUGUAUACCUGGCCGACCUGAUUCAAAGCUUUCUAGCCUCCGCAAAAUUUUCGGGACAUUUCCCGAUUUUUAGGUAGGUGACGAUCUCAUCCCGCCAGGUUGGUUUGGGGUCGAUCAUCAUAUGGACCACUUCGUCCAGCUCGAUUGAUGGUAGGGAUAUUCUUCCCAUGGGGAUGCUAUCGAGUUCUUCAAUUUCCUCACUGGUGGCUAGCUGGGCUAGUGCGUCGGCGUGACCGUUCUACGAUCGGGAGAUUUGCUUGGCUUAGGUGGUGUUGAACCUUUCAAGUUCUUUUCUUACAACUUGUAGAUAAUUUUUCAUUCUUUCUUCUUUCGCCAUAUAUACACUGUUGACCUGAUUUACGACUAGUUGAGAGUCGUUGUGUAUGAUCAGGUCGGAUAUCCCCAAUCUUGAGGCCAUCCUUGUGUUGGCAAUGAGAACUUCGUACUCUGCCUCAUUGUUUGAGGCUUUAAAGUCAAAUGGCAAGGUUUCGCAGAAUAUGUGAUGUUCAGGGCUGAUUAAUACGACGUCUGCCCCAGAUCGUUCUCCAGUGGAUGAACCGUCGACAUAAAAUCUCCAUGUGGUUUCUUCUUGUAGUUCCUCGAUUGGGAUGUUGCAGAACUCAGAGACAAAGUCGGUGAGUGCUUGGCCCUUGAUGGAGGAACGUGGCGUGUAUUUGAUGUCGAAUUGUCCAAGCUCGAUUGCCCAUUUUACCAUCCAACCUGAAGUGUCAGGUCUUUGUAGUGUUUGCCUUAAUGAAGAGUUGGUGAGAACCUCAAUGGGGUGUUCCAAGAAAUAUGGCCUCUGUUUUCGCGCGAUCAUCAGCAAGGUGAAUGCCAGUUUCUCUACAGAUGAUUAUCUGAGCUCAACCUGUAUAUGUAGCAGGGUUUUGUAAGAUUUCUUAGGAGGAAUGUCCACUAAAGGUCGUAGCACUUACGCCCUUAGAUCGGCCUGCGUAUAGAGCAGGGCUUAUAAGAUUCCUUUUCUCCUCGAUUAGGUCGAAUUCCGUACGAAGAGCCAUGUGAUUCCUUUCUUCGUCAUAAUCAGUUAUGCGCAGCGAGAAAAUGCUGACUUCUAGUAGGAUCAUAGCCUCUACACCAAAAGCCAGUGAGAACGGUGUUUCUCCCGUGCUAGUCCUUGCAGUGGUGCGAUAAGACCAUAGCACACUGGGGUGUUCGUCAGCCCAUCCUCCUUUAAAUAAGUCGAGUUUUGCUUUCAAUAUAUAUUUAAUAAUUUUGUUAAUGGCUUCGACUUGGCCAUUUGCCUGCGGAUGGUUCGGCGUUGAGAAAUAUUUCUUGAUGCCAAACUUUUCACAGAAAUUUGAAAGUCGUGCGUUGUCGAACUAUUUUUUAUUGUUCGUAACAAUGGAGUGAGGUAUGCCGAACGUGCAGAUGAUUGAUUUCCUCAAAAGUCGGUUGUUUUCUGUUCGGUGAUCUUGGGAAGUGGCUCUGCCUUGGCCCAUUUGGUGAAAUAAUCAACUGCGAUGAUGGUAAAUUUUACACCUCCUUUUCCAACGGGUAUAGGUCCAAUUAGGUCGACCCCCAUUUCGCAAAGGGCUAAGGUGCUGGUGGCGAGGCGCUAGCAUUUGUCGCAUCUUUUGAUAAAUUCAAGGGAAUCACAUCUUAUUGCAGGCUAGAAGUAUACUUGUCGUAUGAUCUUGUGGGCUAGUGAGAGCCCACCUGAAUGGUUUCAACAUAUUCCUUUGUGAACGUCUUGUAGGACAUGCUGAGCUUCUUCUUCGUUAAAACACCUUGACAAAGAUGUAGAAUAUCCCCGUUUGUAUAGUAUAUCGUUAAUGAGUGUAUACAUGGUCGACUUGAUUCGAAGCUUUCUAGCCUCUGCAAAAUUUUCGGGACAUUUCCCCAUUUUUAGGUAGGUGACAAUCUCAUCCUGCCAGGUUGGUUUGGGGUGUAUCAUCAUAUGGACCACUUCGUCCAGCUCGGUAGACGGUAGGGAUAUUCUUCCCACAGGGAUGCUAUCGAAUUCUUCAAUUCCCUCACUGGUGGCUAGCGGGCCAGUGCGUCGGCGUGAUUGUUCUGCGAUCGAGAAAUUUGCCUGACUUCGGUGGUGUUGAACCUUUCAAGUUCUUUUCUUACAACUUGUAGAUAUUUAUCCAUUCUUUCUUCUUUCGCCAUAUACACACCGUUGACCUGAUUUACGACUAGUUGAGAGUCGCUGUGUAUGAUCAGGUCGAAGAUCCCCAACCCUGAGGCCAUCCUUGUGCUGACAAUGAGAGCUUUGUACUCUGCUUCAUUGUUUGAGGCUUCAAAGUAAAACAGCAAGGCUUUGCAGAAUAUGCGAUGUUCAAGGCUAAUUAAUAUGACGCCUGCUAGAGAUUGUUCUUCGGUGGAUGAACCAUCGACAUAAAGUCUCCAUGGGGUUUCUUCUUGUAGUUCCUCGAUUAGGACGUUGCAGAACUCAGAGACAAAGUCGGCGAGUGCUUGACCCUUGAUGGAGGAACGUGGCGUGUAUUUGAUGUCGAAUUGUCCGAGCUCGACUGCCCAUUUUACCAUCCAACCUGAAGUGUCGGGUCUUUAUAGUGUUUGCCUUAAUGGAAAGUUGGUGAGGACCUCAAUGGGAUGUUCCAAAAAAUAUGGCCUUAGUUUUCACACAGCCAUCAGCAGGGUGAAUGCCAGUUUCUCUACAGGUGAAUAUCUGAGCUCGGCUUCGUGAAGCGCCUUGCUUACGUAAUAGACUGGGUGUUGAACACCGUUCUCUUCUCGGGUUAGAAUCGCACUAAUGGCGUGUUCUGAAACAGAUAAAUAAAGUUUCAGGACCUCGCCGGCCUUAGGUUUUGAAAGCAACGGAGGUUAAGCUAGUUGUCUUUUUAGCUCGUUAAAGGCAUCCUGGCGUUCUUUGGUCCAUGAACUUCUUUCCUCCUCGUAACGUGUCAAAGAAGGGUUUGCAAUGGUCCGUAGACUUGGAGACAAAUCGGCUGAGGGCUGCAAUCCUUCCGGUUAAACUUUGUACCUCUCUAGGUUUAGUUGGAGGCCUCAUUUAGAUGACAGCUUGUACUUUUUUUAGAAUUUGCCUCGAUUCAUUUGUUGUUCACAAUGUAACCUAGGAAUCUUCCAGAGCUGACCCCGAAAGCACAUUUCAUUGGGUUCAACUUCAUUCCAUACUUCCUCAGUAUAUCAAACAUCUCAGUCAGGUGCUGACAGUGAUCUUUGGCCUUGAUGCUUUUGACCAGCAUAUCGUCAACAUACACUUCUAUUGUUUUUUCGAUCCGUUGGGAAAACAUGGAAUUCACUAGUCGUUGGUAGGUCGCACCAUCGUAUUUUAAACCAAAUGGCAUUACUCUGUAGCAGUAAAGACCUUAGUCAGUUACAAACGAGGUAUGUUCUUGAUCUGGGCCGUACAUCGGUAUCUGGUUAUAUCUGGAAUACGCGUCCAUGAAGCUGAGUAGUUUGUGUCCGGCAGUGGCGUCCACCAUUUGAUCUAUUCUUGGCAAAGGAAAACUAUCUUUUGGGUAUGCUUUGUCGAGGUCGGUGAAGUCUAUGCAUACCCUUCAAUCUCCGUUGUGUUUUUUCAUAAGGACCGGAUUUGCGACCCACUUCGGGUAUUUAGCCUCACAGAGGAAACCGUUAUGCAAUAGUUUUUGCACCUCCUUGUUGAGUGUUUCAUAUCUUUUAGGGUUCAGAGAUCGUCAUUUUUGCUGCUCUAGCCGAACCUGUAAUUUGUGGCAUGCGAUGUUGAGGUCUGUUUCUCUCAUGUCCCCAUGAUUCCAGGCGAAGACAUCAAGGUUUUGUCUAAGGAAGGCCACAAUUUCAUUUCAAGUGGAUGGCUGCAGCUCGCGCCCGACUUUGAGCUCCUUUGUUGGGUCCUUAGCGCAGACUUAAACUCCUUCUAGUUCUUCGACGGGUUCUCCUCCUUCGAUCCUGGUCCGCGGGUCUAGUGGAACGAGCUCGGAUUCCCAUACGUUUGCCUUAUGCACUCCCAAGGAAUUGCGUUGAUGGCUGGUUUUCCUCAUGGCGGUCGUUUGAGGGUCCUGCCAUCGUGGAGAACUUAGUGGUGUAUUCAUUUCAUGAAGGUAGGUGUGAAAUGAAUUUCUGGAACUUAAGCUACGACUCAUGGCUCUCGGAUUUUGUGGAGAGAAUGACACUAUUUUUCACAAUUAGGCCCUCCUUCUAGUGCCAAACUAUUGACAUCAAAAUUAGCAAAACUAAUCUUAAGCCAACUUUAAGAAAAAAAAGGGCGAUUUAUUGUUGAAAAAAGACCACAAAAUAUGUUUAGAGAGUGUAAUUAUGCCUUGAGUUGUUGUAUGAAGUCCAUUUUCCUUUACAAGAGUCCUAUUCAACUAUUUAUACAUAGUUUCAGCCGACAUUACAUCAAAUCAGUCAAAUCAGCAACAAUACCGAACUCGAAACUCGGGUUGCCGAAUUCUCUUAUGUUUGGUCGAUGAGGCCGAUGAUCAUGUGUCAAUAUUUUCCCUAGGUAAUGAUGACCUGCAAGGGGCUGGAGGUUGGGAACUUAGGAUUGGUUGUUCCGGGCGGUGAUAAUGUUACCUGUGGCAAGUGUAUUUGAUUGAUAGGGUGAUGUGACAUGGGUUAAUCAUGAUGUUUUUUUGAGAUAACGGCGGGAUUGUCCGACCUGGGAGUAAGGACCGAACUCACAUUUAACUGAGGUAGGAUUAGCGAACUGUUUUUAUUAGAUCGGAGUUCAGAUGUCAACAUAUAAAAAUAUUAAAACCCCCACUAGACCACUCUCAUUCGCCAUAUAAAAAAUAAAAUAAAAAAAUAAUAACAAAGAAAAAGAUAAAACUCUUUUUUUUUUUUAUGAUCAUGGGUGUCCGACACAGCUUAUGCACACCUCGACUAAUCCCACGUCCUGAAAUUUACAGCUGGAUACUCACUUCAUUGAUCUUGAGGAGACUCGAACUGGUAACCAUUGUGGAGCAAACUGAAGACCUGAUCAUUGAGUUACCCCUCAGGGUUAGAAAAAGAUGAAACUAAAAGUAGAGCUAAUUCUUUCCAUGUUCAACACCAUUACUUGCAGUAAUUUCCACUAAUUAAGGCAAGAAAAGAGGAAAAAUAAUUUUUUUUCUUCCUAUAUUCUAAUCGUCUCUUUCUAAAAGUUAAAAGAAUAUGAAAUUUUGGUGAUAGAAACUAGGUAUGGAGAUGUCUAGUUUUGUCCGAUUUCAAAGAGAAUCGAAAUGAGUCAAAACAAAAAUUAUUGGGCAUUUUUUGAAUGGAAACUUAUGGUCCAAAUUUAAUUAUGGAAUAGUUCGAUUGGUUCUAUCUUGUAUCAUAAUUACAUUUUUAAUGUUAAAACAACACAACAUCAAAAUAAAAUAGAAAUAAAAUAUAUUUAUGUUAUUACUUGUACUUACCAACCAUUUAAUCAUCCAUUAUUUGGCUUAUGGCUAGGGAUGGCAACGGGGUUGGUAUGGGAUGGGUAUCCAUUCUCACCCUUGUCUCGUCGGAUAUUUUUAUUAUCUUACCCCAUACCCAUAUCCGAUUAAAGCGGAACAGGGCGGGGCAAGUCUCCUAUCACAUUUAUCGCCCCAUUUAUUUUUUCUUUUUCUUUUUUAUUUUUUGCUUUUAUUUUUUAUGUCAUUAGUUAGUAAAUAGUAUUAUUUUUUUACCAAUUUGUUAAAAAAAACUUAUAUUCUCUUUAAAACGGAUGAUAAAUAUAUUAUUUUUGUUUGAUAAAAACUUAAAUUUGAAAUUAAUAUUAAUCGGGACGUGAACUAUGUUUUCCGUACCCGUACCAUACCCGUUUUGGAGCAAUGACCCUCGCCCCAUACCCAUCCCAUAUACCCGGUUAGACGGAUAUUAUCCACCCCAGGCAAGCUCCAUGGGUAUAGUGUUAAAUGAGUUUUUUUGCCAUCCCUACUCAUGGCACUAAAAAACUCUACAUGAAUAAUUUGAAAAGGCACAAAUGAAACAAACAUAAAAAACCUAACAUAUGUCCAACUAUUAAGAUUUAUCUUAAAAAAAAUAUUAUUUAUCUUUAUUACCUAUCUCAAUGCCAUCACAAAAUUUGACCCCUUCGAUGUGAACUUUAUUUUGAAAAACACUCUUCUCGUAAACUGUUUUGUGGACAAACUAUAAGAUCACGGCUGUUCAAACAGAUAAAGAACACGUGAAUCAAGCAUGCACCCUCCAAUACUAAUUAAUCACUCGAAAGCAACUCUAGAUACAAGAAUGGAGUGUACAUCCCUCAUAAAUGGAGAUAGAAAUUUAAAUAUAAACUAUUCAUAUUCCGCCAAUUCAAAACAUCAAAUUUUCUGUGAGUAACAUCUUUUGUGGGUUUCGUUAGAUAUCUCGGUACUCAUCUUUUCCAUAGAAAUCUAUUUUGCUAGUUUCCAUUUUCUUGUAAACAAAUUCAAAAUUAUAAUCAUCCCAAUCAUCAUCAUGAGAACUUCCAACAAAGUGACGCCAUCAUUUGAAUCACCAUUACCUCCAUCACUACCACUGGGUGCAAUGCUAUCCCUUUGUAUUGGUUAUAUUUGAUCUUGUUUGUUAAAAAUUGUUUUAAAUCAGAGUUUCACAUUUCUUGGGGGUUCGACUUUGAUAGAGUCUUACAAGACACCAAUAUAAUGGACAACAAUAUCCAAUUUAAAAUAGGAUCAAGUCAACUGAUACGAUCAAUAUCUUAUUCAUUUUUUCAACAUACUUGUCAAAGUUAACAUUCAUGCUAUUUGUUGUACUACUUAGCAAUGAAGUAAAUAUAGGAGGAAACAAUGAAGCGCUAAACUUCAAGGUGACUUCACAAAUAGUUCUUAAUGACUUGGCAAAUUUCUAACUUUUUCCCGGUCACAACUCAUAGUUGGCCCUUCUAUUUAUUUUCCACCUUCAUUUGCAUCAAAAUAAUUACAAUAAAAUCCAUCAUUCCUUUCUCCGUCCAAAUAUUUUUUAAAAUCCGACGCACUAUCAAACAUUAAGAAUGUUGAAUUUCAUCUAGUAGAAACAUCUAAAACAUCAAGUUUUUUGCAUACAAUCAUUUCUGUUUCGAUACAACAUUUAAAUUUCAUUGAGUAAAAGAGGAUAAAAAAAAUUUGGCCUUAUUGCGACUACUUGCAAUGGAUGUAUUAAACUCUUUCAACCAUUUUUUAUCAAUCAAAUUGACUAUGUGUGCAAAAUAAAAUACAUGUAAAUAAUAAGCACUUAAAAUCAUAUUAUAAUUAAUUAGCUUUUCAAUUCUUCAGCUUGUUUUUCAAAUUAAUGAUUGUUGUAUCAUUUGUGUUUGCAUUUUGAAAAGGGGUGAUACCCAUAUACUCUAUUCCCAAUCUAGCAAACAUUUCAAUAAUUUCCCCAAGUAUUUUCCCUUUAUGAUUUGGAACAACAGAAAAAUCCAAAAUCGUAUUGUGCAAUUUCCAACUUUUAUCAAUGAAGUUUGUUGCGAUUACCAUAUAGUUUUGAAUUGAUGUCCAAUAAUCAGUGGUUAAAGAAAUCCUUUGUCUAUCACUGAUAAAUUCAUCCUUGACGAUUCAAUUAUUUCUUGGUAGAGAUGAAACAUAUUUCUUGUAGGCAUUCUUCAGUAAGGAACCUCAAAUCUAGGACAUAUGUUGUCUCACAAAAUCCAGGUCAUAUAUAUUUCUUGAUUUCCG
This 40546-nucleotide long non-coding RNA is filed under the name Olea europaea subsp. europaea. Lineage: Eukaryota; Viridiplantae; Streptophyta; Magnoliopsida; Lamiales; Oleaceae. The record is from RNAcentral.